RNAcentral lists this long non-coding RNA (226 nucleotides) under Elaeis guineensis (African oil palm). Its description in RNAcentral is "long non-coding RNA (EGUI_LNC072432)". Lineage: Eukaryota; Viridiplantae; Streptophyta; Magnoliopsida; Arecales; Arecaceae. The record is from RNAcentral.
AUUUAAAUAAAUUAAUAAUUUUAAUUUAUUCUUCAAUUAGAUGGUUUUUUAAUUGCUAAAUUCAGAUCGACAUGAAUUGAACCUUAAUCGGUUAAGAAUGGAUCUAAUUGAAUUAGGUCAAAAUGCACCCAAACCUAUACUGGCUAGAUGUGGAGCCCAAUGGAUCAUACACAUAAGGGAAUGGGUCAAAGAGUUGAUUUGAUAAGGUCGAUUGAACUAAUUGAUU